RNAcentral lists this long non-coding RNA (269 nucleotides) under Olea europaea (common olive). Its description in RNAcentral is "long non-coding RNA (OEUR_LNC005183)". Lineage: Eukaryota; Viridiplantae; Streptophyta; Magnoliopsida; Lamiales; Oleaceae. The record is from RNAcentral.
CAAUUAUAAAAUUUAUGAUCACGAAUACGUAAUUAUGUAUCACAACUUAUUUAUUAAUCACAUAUUAUUAAAAUAAUUGGUAACAAAUUAGUUCUCGAUCACAAAUAAUUUUUUUUUAUAAAUCACAAUUUAUUAAUCGGUCACAAAUCACCAAUUUUAUAGUUUACAAUUUAUUUCACGAUCACAAAUUAUCAAAUUAGUUAGUCGCAAGUUAUUUCUCAGUAACAAAUUUUCGAAUUAUUAGAUCACAUAUUAAAUUGUCAAACAAC